CCUACGGGAGGCAGCAGUGAGGAAUAUUGGUCAAUGGACGAGAGUCUGAACCAGCCAAGUAGCGUGAAGGAUGACUGCCCUAUGGGUUGUAAACUUCUUUUAUAUGGGAAUAAAAUGUUCCACGUGUGGGAUUUUGUAUGUACCAUAUGAAUAAGGAUCGGCUAACUCCGUGCCAUCAGCCGCGGUAAUACGGAGGAUCCGAGCGUUAUCCGGAUUUAUUGGGUUUAAAGGGAGCGUAGGUGGAUUGUUAAGGCAGUUGUGAAAGUUUGCGGCUCAACCGUAAAAUUGCAGUUGAAACUGGCAGUCUUGAGUACAGUAGAGGUGGGCGGAAUUCGUGGUGUAGCGGUGAAAUGCUUAGAUAUCACGAAGAACUCCGAUUGCGAAGGCAGCUCACUGGACUGCAACUGACACUGAGGCUCGAAAGUGUGGGUAUCAAACAGGAUUAGAUACCCCAGUAGUC
Molecule: ribosomal RNA, 460 nt
Filed under: uncultured bacterium
Lineage: Bacteria
Description: partial 16S ribosomal RNA
Rfam family: Bacterial small subunit ribosomal RNA
Source: RNAcentral